CGUAGGGCGCAAGCGUUGUCCGGAAUUAUUGGGCGUAAAGAGCUCGUAGGCGGCUUGUCACGUCGGAUGUGAAAGCCCGGGGCUUAACCCCGGGUCUGCAUUCGAUACGGGCUAGCUAGAGUGUGGUAGGGGAGAUCGGAAUUCCUGGUGUAGCGGUGAAAUGCGCAGAUAUCAGGAGGAACACCGGUGGCGAAGGCGGAUCUCUGGGCCAUUACUGACGCUGAGGAGCGAAAGCGUAGGGAGCGAACAGGAUUAGAUACCCUGGUAGUCCACGCCGUAAACGUUGGGAACUAGGUGUUGGCGACAUUACCACGUCGUCGGUGCCGCAGCUAACGCAUUAAGUUCCCCGCUGGGGAUACGGCCGCAAGGCUA
RNAcentral lists this ribosomal RNA (372 nucleotides) under uncultured organism. Its description in RNAcentral is "bacterial SSU rRNA". It matches the Rfam family "Bacterial small subunit ribosomal RNA", at positions 526 to 896 of the family's 1533-position model. The record is from RNAcentral.